Protopterus annectens (West African lungfish) is the source of this 644-nucleotide long non-coding RNA. RefSeq lists it as uncharacterized. NCBI's taxonomy places the organism in Eukaryota, Metazoa, Chordata, Ceratodontiformes, Protopteridae. The transcript has 3 exons. The record is from RefSeq and is a predicted model, not a curated record.
UCUGCAGGGGACAUUUGUAUGUGGUCUUUUGAGCCCACCAGCUUGUUGCAAAAGAAAGCAUGUUAUGGAUUUUCUUCAGGAUAUUUGUGAGACUGUGCAUGAGAUUUGCUUGAAAUGCAUAGUCCCCCUCUCUCUGAGGAGGGAAGGAGCUGGAAUUGGAAGAAUCUUAGUUUUAUAACUCAGCAGCAGCCAGGAUUGAUUGUCCGUUGAGGGAAUUCCUUCCGGUUAGAUGAUGCUGUCUGUGCUUGCCUAACUGCUCUGAUUAGACCACGGCUUGACUAUCAUUACGUCAUACAAACGGAAGAUGUUGAUAAGAAUAUAAUGACCAUUCCAGAGCCAUGAAAUGGAUUAAUCACAUAAAAGGUUUACAUUGUAACAGAAGACUGGUCAUGCGGAAUCAUUUCUAACAAGUGGAAUAAAUUCUGUGAAUGAAUACAGACUGUAAUGGCAGGAUAUUGUGGGAGCAUGCGACUUUAAAAAUGGGACUAAAUCUUCAGAAAGACUGUGACCGUAAAGUGCUAUAUUCCUGCUUCUGGAAGUUUCAUGUGCACAUUGCUACUGGAGCCAAAGUCCAAGUUUAUUUGAGGCCAUCCCAAUAAAAUGAUAAUUUAAUUUUACUAAUGCUCGAUGUUCCCGAAAAAGGU